CCUAGUGGUUAGAGUGUAGAGGAGGUAGGUAGCCUAGUGGUUAGAGUGUAGAGGAGGUAGGUAGCCUAGUGGUUAGAGUGUAGAGGAGGCAGGUAGCCUAGUGGUUAGAGUGUAGAGGAGGUAGGUAGCCUAGUGGUUAGAGUGUAGAGGAGGUAGGUAGCCUAGUGGUUAGAGUGUAGAGGAGGUAGGUAGCCUAGUGGUUAGAGUGUAGAGGAGGUAGGUAGCCUAGUGGUUAGAGUGUAGAGGAGGCAGGUAGCCUAGUGGUUAGAGUGUAGAGGAGGUAGGUAGCCUAGUGGUUAGAGUGUAGAGGAGGUAGGUAGCCUAGUGGUUAGAGUGUAGAGGAGGUAGGUAGCCUAGUGGUUAGAGUGUAGAGGAGGCAGGUAGCCUAGUGGUUAGAGUGUAGAGGAGGUAGGUAGCCUAGUGGUUAGAGUGUA
Long non-coding RNA from Oncorhynchus keta (chum salmon), 434 nucleotides. RefSeq lists it as uncharacterized. NCBI's taxonomy places the organism in Eukaryota, Metazoa, Chordata, Actinopteri, Salmoniformes, Salmonidae. The transcript is spliced from 4 exons. The record is from RefSeq and is a predicted model, not a curated record.